This 406-nucleotide ribosomal RNA is filed under the name uncultured bacterium. RNAcentral describes it as "partial 16S ribosomal RNA". It matches the Rfam family "Bacterial small subunit ribosomal RNA", at positions 30 to 526 of the family's 1533-position model. The record is from RNAcentral.
AUUGAACGCUGGCGGCAGGCCUAACACAUGCAAGUCGAACGGGUGGCGGACGGGUGAGUAAUGUCGUGGAAACUGCCUGAUGGAGGGGGAUAACUACUGGAAACGGUAGCUAAUACCGCAUACCAUCAGAUGGGCCCAGAUGGGAUUAGAUUGUUGGUGGGGUAACGGCUCACCAAGGCGACGAUCCCUAGCUGGUCUGAGAGGAUGACCAGCCACACUGGAACUGAGACACGGUCCAGACUCCUACGGGAGGCAGCAGUGGGGAAUAUUGCACAAUGGGCGCAAGCCUGAUGCAGCCAUGCCGCGUGUAUGAAGAAGGCCUUCGGGUUGUAAAGUACUUUCAGUGGGGAGGCGUUACCCGCAGAAGAAGCACCGGCUAACUCCGUGCCAGCAGCCGCGGUAAUAC